GGGCUCACGAAGCACCGAUUCGGAGGCGGGCGCGAGAGGCUCGUGCCACAUUUUCUUAUAGGCAAGGAGUGUGGCGGUUUGGUCAACGGUUAGAGCGAGCUAGUGGCUACCUCCUCCGGACGCUCUAGCGCGCGGACGGCCUCCUCGAGGAGAGCCGCCGCGAGCGGGCGUGGAGGGGCGCGCUGCGGACGGCGCGUCGGCGGUAGAGGGGCCGGAAGGCGCGGCGCCGGCUGAGGCUGCGGCAGACCCGGCCGAAGGACGGGGGGCCGCCGGAGGGCGGCGAGCGGCUGCCCCUCGACCGACGGGGGCGGGGCGGGAGGAGGUUCUUCCUCGAGAAGGAGGCGGAGAGGCGGCCGGGGCGGGAGGAGGUCCUGUUCGAGCACUCGCACACCCACCUGUCCCUCUGGCCGCGGUUCACGAUGUACGACAGGCGGUCCUUGGAGAAGUAGCACACCCCCUUGUGCGGGCUCAUGACCUGGACCUAGGGUGAGGUUCUGAGGUCCAAGAGGCUUCCACGAGUUGAGUCCGUACAAACGACCGAGCUCUAGGCACCCUUCUAUGUGUCGUUGGACGAAAGGGACCUGUGUUGGAUAUGGCGGAUGUACCAGAAGUUCUUUUGACUACUAAAGAUACCCGACCGUAAAGGCCAGGUCCUCCGUAGCCAGUCGCAACCUCGUUGGUUGAAUUGGGCGUUCCAAACGGAGGUUGUAUUGUUACUACUACUGCUGCCGCUGCCGCUGUUACUACUGCUACUGCUGAUGCUACUGACACCCUACGGGCUCUUGAUGACCAGGUACUCUUCCUUACCGGAUGUGUUUCUUUUACAGCGUGAGGGAGUCGUUUCCUGGCUGCCUACCUACCUCGACCUCGACCCGCUCAAGAAGUUGCUCCCCCCACUUCUGCCGCUCCACAGGUAGUCGGACUGCCUCCGGUUUCCACCCUUGACCUUCUCGCCGGAGUAGCACGUCCCGUAACUCUAGUCUGCAUUCUUUAGUCCGACUCACUCCUCGAGGAUCAUCCUAAUUUGAACGGGCCCAGUUUCAUUUACUUGUUUCUUUCGUAUAGCAGACAUCAGUAGCCGCCGCGGUCCCCAUAAGUGCACAUAAGUAUACUUAUGGGUUCUAAACCGGGUUUUUUUAAUUAUGUACAGAAUAAAUCGUCGGGUGUCGGGUGUCUCCUAUGGCCGAUGCGAGUAGGCAAGUGAGCUAGGUCGGGGGUGAGCCAGCAAGGGGUUCAGGGGUUGGAUUGGAUCGCUGACGCCGGUCGCCGCCGCCGCCGCCGCUCAUCGCCGGUCGCGGGUCGCCGCCGUUGCCGCCGCUCAUCGCCAGUUGCCGCCGCCGGUCAUGACUGACGUCCGUCGCCGUUCGUCUCGGCGACUUGCCCGCUGGUCGCCGUCCGGCCGUCGACUGGUCCACCUAAACGUCACGUCAAUUUAACCUGUUUAACGACGAUCACAACCUAAACUUACGUUGCUCGAUGACGGAUUCUACUUCUUCUUCCCACAAUCAUAACAACGUAACACCCUUACUCGAUACACUUCUUAUUCGAUUUGUUUUACCCACUACUUAUAGACUUGUUAACAAACCAAUGUAAACAACUCUCUCUGAAAAAGCUAGUUCACUUCCUACUUCUACAGUAGUUAGACAAGGUUUUUCCGCUAGCGUUUCAAUAUAACAUUCUUCCUAUAGUAGCGUUUGUAUCAACUUCGCGUGGCC
RNAcentral lists this ribosomal RNA (1715 nucleotides) under Triticum aestivum (bread wheat). RNAcentral's name for it is "partial small subunit ribosomal RNA". Lineage: Eukaryota; Viridiplantae; Streptophyta; Magnoliopsida; Poales; Poaceae. The record is from RNAcentral.